RNAcentral lists this ribosomal RNA (381 nucleotides) under uncultured eukaryote. Its description in RNAcentral is "partial 18S ribosomal RNA". It matches the Rfam family "Eukaryotic small subunit ribosomal RNA", at positions 592 to 976 of the family's 1831-position model. The record is from RNAcentral.
CAAUAGCGUAUAUUAAAGUUGUUGCGGUAAAAAAGCUCGUAGUUGGAUUUCUACCGAAGAUAGCCGGUCGGGUCUUCGACCUUGUAUCUGGUUUUGUCUUUGGUAUCCUCAUAGGGAACGUUUCUGCGCUUUAUUGCGUGGUGCGGUAUCUAUGACUUUUACUUUGAGGAAAUUAGAGUGUUCACGGCAGGCAAACGCCUUGAAUAUAUUAGCAUGGAAUAAUAACAUAGGAUCUUCGUCCUGUUUUGUUGGUUUCUAGGGCUAAGAUAAUGAUUAAUAGGGAUAAUUGGGGGCAUCUGUAUCAACGCGUCAGAGGUGGAAUUCUUGGAUUGCGUUGCGACAAACUACUGCGAAAGCAUUUGCCAAGGAUGUUUUCAUUGA